This 87-nucleotide small RNA is filed under the name Heyndrickxia shackletonii. RNAcentral's name for it is "Bacillus shackletonii BsrC". It matches the Rfam family "BsrC". Rfam says of the family: The 301 nucleotide sequence from Kouji Nakamura has been trimmed to a highly conserved ~85 nucleotide long core to form this family. Lineage: Bacteria; Bacillati; Bacillota; Bacilli; Caryophanales; Bacillaceae. The record is from Rfam by way of RNAcentral.
AAUACCUAAAACAACAAAAGCCCUGCCUCUCUUUUGUCCUAACGGUUCCUUGACCGUGCCAGUGUGAAUCAGGCUUUAUUAAAAUUC